This 1343-nucleotide ribosomal RNA is filed under the name uncultured bacterium. RNAcentral describes it as "16S ribosomal RNA". It matches the Rfam family "Bacterial small subunit ribosomal RNA", at positions 28 to 1378 of the family's 1533-position model. The record is from RNAcentral.
GACGAACGCUGGCGGCGUGCUUAACACAUGCAAGUCGAACGGAAAGGCCCUGCUUUUGUGGGGUGCUCGAGUGGCGAACGGGUGAGUAACACGUGAGUAACCUGCCCUUGACUUUGGGAUAACUUCAGGAAACUGGGGCUAAUACCGGAUAGGAGCUCCUGCUGCAUGGUGGGGGUUGGAAAGUUUCGGCGGUUGGGGAUGGACUCGCGGCUUAUCAGCUUGUUGGUGGGGUAGUGGCUUACCAAGGCUUUGACGGGUAGCCGGCCUGAGAGGGUGACCGGCCACAUUGGGACUGAGAUACGGCCCAGACUCCUACGGGAGGCAGCAGUGGGGAAUAUUGCACAAUGGGCGGAAGCCUGAUGCAGCAACGCCGCGUGCGGGAUGACGGCCUUCGGGUUGUAAACCGCUUUCGCCUGUGACGAAGCGUGAGUGACGGUAAUGGGUAAAGAAGCACCGGCUAACUACGUGCCAGCAGCCGCGGUGAUACGUAGGGUGCGAGCGUUGUCCGGAUUUAUUGGGCGUAAAGGGCUCGUAGGUGGUUGAUCGCGUCGGAAGUGUAAUCUUGGGGCUUAACCCUGAGCGUGCUUUCGAUACGGGUUGACUUGAGGAAGGUAGGGGAGAAUGGAAUUCCUGGUGGAGCGGUGGAAUGCGCAGAUAUCAGGAGGAACACCAGUGGCGAAGGCGGUUCUCUGGGCCUUUCCUGACGCUGAGGAGCGAAAGCGUGGGGAGCGAACAGGCUUAGAUACCCUGGUAGUCCACGCUGUAAACGGUGGGUACUAGGUGUGGGGUCCAUUCCACGGGUUCCGUGCCGUAGCUAACGCUUUAAGUACCCCGCCUGGGGAGUACGGCCGCAGGGCUAUAACUCAAAGGAAUUGACGGGGCCCCGCACAAGCGGCGGAGCAUGCGGAUUAAUUCGAUGCAACGCGUAGAACCUUACCUGGGUUUGACAUGGAUCGGGAGUGCUCAGAGAUGGGUGUGCCUCUUUUGGGGUCGGUUCACAGGUGGUGCAUGGCUGUCGUCAGCUCGUGUCGUGAGAUGUUGGGUUAAGUCCCGCAACGAGCGCAACCCUUGUUCACUGUUGCCAGCACGUUAUGGUGGGGACUCAGUGGAGACCGCCGGGGUCAACUCGGAGGAAGGUGGGGAUGACGUCAAGUCAUCAUGCCCCUUAUGUCCAGGGCUUCACGCAUGCUACAAUGGCUGGUACAGAGAGUGGCGAGCCUGUGAGGGUGAGCGAAUCUCGGAAAGCCGGUCUCAGUUCGGAUUGGGGUCUGCAACUCGACCUCAUGAGGUCGGAGUCGCUAGUAAUCGCAGAUCAGCAACGCUGCGGUGAAUACGUUCCCGGG